This 430-nucleotide ribosomal RNA is filed under the name uncultured Bacillus sp. Its description in RNAcentral is "bacterial SSU rRNA". It matches the Rfam family "Bacterial small subunit ribosomal RNA", at positions 355 to 776 of the family's 1533-position model. The record is from RNAcentral. Lineage: Bacteria; Bacillati; Bacillota; Bacilli; Caryophanales; Bacillaceae.
UAGGGAAUCUUCCGCAAUGGACGAAAGUCUGAAGGAGCAACGCCGCGUGAGUGAUGAAGGUUUUCGGAUCGUAAAGCUCUGUUGUUAGGGAAGAACAAGUACCGUUCAAAUAGGGCGGUACCUUGACGGUACCUAACCAGAAAGCCACGGCUAACUACGUGCCAGCAGCCGCGGUAAUACGUAGGUGGCAAGCGUUGUCCGGAAUUAUUGGGCGUAAAGGGCUCGCAGGCGGUUUCUUAAGUCUGAUGUGAAAGCCCCCGGCUUAACCGGGGAGGGUCAUUGGAAACUGGGGAACUUGAGUGCAGAAGAGGAGAGUGGAAUUCCACGUGUAGCGGUGAAAUGCGUAGAGAUGUGGAGGAACACCAGUGGCGAAGGCGACUCUCUGGUCUGUAACUGACGCUGAGGAGCGAAAGCGUGGGGAGCGAACAGG